This is a long non-coding RNA of Panthera uncia (snow leopard), 5466 nucleotides long. RefSeq lists it as uncharacterized. The transcript is spliced from 4 exons. NCBI's taxonomy places the organism in Eukaryota, Metazoa, Chordata, Mammalia, Carnivora, Felidae. The record is from RefSeq and is a predicted model, not a curated record.
CCCUUCCGUUCAGGACCACUCGGCUUGCGCAGCCGGCACGUCGAGGACAGCCCGCCGCGGGGCUUGCUGAGGAGACGCCUGCCGGCCCAGACACCAGUAGAGGUUCAUUAUCCAAGACGUUGCAGAAUGGAAUUGUAACCCUGACAUGUUGCCCUGUCACAUCUAGAAGAAACUGUUCAUCUCCAGAGAGAAAAGCGCCUUCUUAGAGCCAGUCUCCAGCAUUCAUGGAUCCCAGCUAGAGAUAUUUACUGAAGUGAGCAAGGAUUUGUAGCUGUUUGGAGCCUGAGUGGCAGAUGAAACCAGCUCGGAGACUUCUUGGAGCACAAGUAUGAGUUCCACCCCAGAGGCUGCUGCAGGGUGCCCAGGCUGCACACUGACCACCUCCACACUUGCAGAGCUGAGGGGAUCGCAGAGGAGACAUGCCAUUGCCUUGGAGCAGGGCAGUCUGCAUGGAAAACAAACAGGAUUCCUGCCUCCUCCAACUUUGGACUACACUGGAAAGCUGGUAAGGUGUGGAGAGUCAGUCAGAGUAGACGUUCAAUGCGAGCUGCAGGGCAGCUACAAUUUGUAAGACAUGAUCUGUUUCCUCACAGAACAACAGCCUUGUGGGUUGAUUGAACAAACAUCCCACAGAUGAGAAAUUAAAGCAGGGUAGGGUGGUCAAGGCCACUCUCUAAGCAAUUAAGGGGGCUACAACACAGGUCUCACCAUCCCCGGAUCAGGGCAGCCUAGGGCUGCACACACAGACACUAAGCUCUAGCUUCUUCAGGCUAAGAGUUGUCUCGACCCCUGAGUUGUCGGUGUCUGCUGCCAGUGAUCUUAAAUGCAGAUUUGUCUUUGUGCUAGAGGUAGAAGUCUUAGAGUUGAGUGAGGGAGCUCCUCCUCAGAAAUUUAGUAAAUUUUAGUGAGUAGCUAAUUCCUUCUUGCAACAUGUACUCCUUUGUGCAUAAUGUAAUACAGUUCUGGGUUUUGGAAAUACAUAGUCCUGGUGUAAUAGUACUAGUACUUUAAAGGUCCCUUUGGAAUUGCUCCUAAGCCUUCUUUACUCUGAUUUAGGCCUUUUAUCUUGCACAUGGCCUCUUACCGUUCUUCCCACUUCAUCCUCCUAGCUCUCACUCCCAGCUGGCCCUAAGGAGAGACUGGGUAGGGCAGUAGUUGGGAGUGUGGCCUCUGGAGGCAGAGGGCCCAGUCUCAAACCAUAGUUCUGCUGCUUAUUUGUUGUGUGACUUUGGGCCAGGGCCUUCACAAUGCUGGCUCGUUUGCCUUACUUUCUAAUGAGGAUAUGAUAGUACUGACUUCACCAAGUUGAUAGAAUUACAUGUGUCCAUCCAAGUACUUAAACAGUGACUGACCCAUAAUAAAACCUUAACUAUUUUCAUUUUGUUCAGUUCUCUGUUCAGAAACCUCAAAUAGUUAUAGAAUGGAGACCAGUGUUUAACCUGAAAUAGACUUUCUUGGCCUAUUUAAAUGGUAUUUCCUCACUUACUAAUCCAUGCACUCCAGCUCACUCAGUUCCCCAAACCUGCCCUCCUGUCUUGGCUCCUGCUGACCCAAUAUUGCCAUCAGUUGAAAUCACUGCUGCCCCUCAAGGGCAGGCUCUCUGGUCAGACAUGUCGAUGGGCUUUUUUCCUCCUUUGAGCCAUAUUUAGUCAAUAUCCAGCUUCCUCCAGUUGUAGAGGAAAUCAAAAGUCCUCAGACGUGAAAAAUAUUCUCCAAACAACUGACCAUUUAAAAAAUUACUUUCCAUUUAGACAUUGUUAAAUCACAAAAAUUCAACUGAGUAACUUUAAAGAUCAAAUUGGCAUGAUUCAAUGACUCAUGAGUUAGGCAGCAUCCCAUCCAGCAAUAGAAAGGAGCUCUGAAGGGCCAUACAAAAUGCAAAGUUUUUAAAAGGCAGAAAUGGGGGUGGGGAAAGGGGAAUUAUUAGUGAAGAAUGCAUUGUUCCAGGAAGGUAGCCUAUCUAACAGGAACGGAAGGGGUCUAUCAAGUGGUUUAUCUCACUAGUGCCGACUAGGUACCAUGAUGACUGGUUAAAGGUUAUACCUCAGGAGUUGAAGGUGCAGUUGGGUUAGUUAUUAAGCUGUGAUUUGCUAACAUGGGGCUUAGCACAAGUGACUCCACUUGGGGCCAGUUGUCUCUUUUUAAACAUCUCUCUGCUUAACACCCUCCACCCAGCAUAGUCCAUCUCUCCCAUCUCGUGCUUAGGAUUGUAAGGGGUCAGAAACUUCUGACACUAAUACAACACAAUGGUGCUGAAGUACGAUUUAAGUAUUAAGCCUAGAAUUUCAUAAAGUUACAAAGGUAUUGAUGGAAACUGCUCAAAGAUUGCAGUCAUUGGCAGAUGAGGAUCUGAGAGGCCCAUUAACACAUGAAGAGCUUCAUGGAACCAAUUAGGUACUUCAUGGGUAUGGCUAGAGGAUCAGAGAGCUAACAGAUUAAGAGAGGCCUUAAGGAAAACUGAGGAGGCCCUUGACUAACUUUUCAAAACUGACUGCCCUGUGGGAAUGGUGUCUGUUUUAUUAUGCAGUCAUAUAAAGUUUAGGAAGGAAAUAUACAUAAAAUGAUUCUAAGAAUUAGCCCGUAAUUGCAAUUGCACUUUGUUAAGAGAUACUAGUUUUAGUAGUUUCGUUUUGCAGUUAGUUCCAAUCAAACCUUUUUCACUAUUUAUAUAUGCAACUCUGGUCUCCACUUUAGGUUGACUCAAAGGGGAUUUUUCAGUUCUUUUUGGAUAAGCACCUUUUAACUUAUUUUUAUCUGCCUCAUCUUCCCUAACAGACGGCACACUCCUAGGGCAAACAGUGCUGAGACAAACAGAAAUGCCAUGUCAUCAUCUCAUGGGACAGUGGGGGCGGAUAUGUGUGAUUCACCAGUGAAGCCUGUGCAGACCCAUAACCCUCAAUUAUUUGUUAAAUGAAGGAGUCCUGGUGUAUCCAGAGCUGUUGAAAGCAAAGACCCUCAGUGAGGGUCCCCAGCAAUGAGGGGUGACUAGAUGACCUCAGAUCCCAGGCUGUUGCCCUCAGGUCCAUCCAGGUUUUUCAGGCAUUGGCCGUGAUCUCCAAAAAUCUGGAGUGCUUGCAGGACAGGACUGGGUGGAGGACACAAGAAUGACAAGGAUGAUCAAGGAUGCUCAGGUAAGGAGAGGCAGAGGCCCCAGCUGGCCUCCUCCCCUCAAGCUGUUAAAGCGGCUCUCGGUGCUCUGGUUCAUUCCUGCUUGGUAUGGUUCAGAAUUUUUUAAGAGUGAGCUUCAUAACCAGACUGAAUGAUGGAGCUUUUCCCAGUCCAAGGGAGGGUGUCUGGAAAGAGGUUAACCUCCUCCUUGGGAGUGGAGGAGGGAAGGACAGAUUGGCACCAAUGUUCACCCCAGCUCCAGGCACUGACUGCUCUGUAAGGAACCACCAAACCUAGCAGUGGAAAAGAGCAAGGUCAGGUGCUGCAAGGCCUUUCCGUUCAGCCCUCCUUUCACUGACCAGAUUGGGUUAGCAGAGCCCUCAGGCCCGAGACAGUCCUGAAGUUAAUGCCUCAGAACUGCAUGGGGAUGGGUGGAGGGCAGUGUACAUGUGAGGCAUGGCCUUGAACACAUCUCUGGUGGGAACACCUGAUGUGCUAGCAGUUUCUUCAAGCUCCUGGGAACAUGGCCUUUGCUGCAUCCCUGGCAGACUCAUAGGGAGCUGUGGUUAAUAAAGUGUCUCCAUUUUAAAUACCUUGAUUUGUAAGUCUCCAAGGAAGCAUGCAUGAAAGGAGGGCAGAGAACUGUACCUCAGGAAUACCAAUAUUUAGGAAGCAGGGAGAGGACUGUCAGGAAAAGCCCCUGAAGGCCAAUUGAAGAGGUGUAAGAGUCAGCAGAAGGUUUAUUAAGGUUACCCUGUUGUAAAGUGCUUUGAGAAGGAAUGCUUUGGGGCAGGGUCUGGGGUGUAUGGCUAGUACUUGGGGACAUCUGAGAACAGUGUUAGAGGGGCAAUAGGAGCUUCUGAGCUGGUUGAUCAAGUCAGAUGAAAAAUCAUAUCCUUGAGGUGCCAAAGGAGGGAGGUCACGUCCCAAAGGCUGACAGGGAGGGACCUCAAGAGUGGGAGCUGCCCCCAGUCAAGAAUGUAUGCUAGUGGGUACCACCUUCUGGGUGACUUGAAAGAACCUGCAGUUCUAGGGACUGACCUUCCAAAUGGCAACAAAGUACAACAGGGGAACCAUUUACAACUAACACUCAUCUAUUUUAACUUGCGUGACAAAGCCUUAAUAUGUUCGGCUACCUUGGGCUCCAUUAGCAUUGGAGAUGGCAGGGAGGAUCAUAUGAAUGCAAGGUCUUCACUUCCUUUUCCAACCACAGACUCUAGGAUCUUCAUGGUGGCUCUCUUGCUAGAUAGAGCACACAGCCUGGGCCCAGGCCUCUGCCUCAGACAUCUACGCUACAGAGGUAAAGGCCACCUGGCUCUGCCUCCCCUGUUCCUCAGCCUGGAGAGUGGGUCUACAUCUUGCAGUUCGGUGUGUAAUCUGGCACCUCAGCAAAGUAAGGCCACCUCAGUCUCCACAGGGCACAGGAGUUCUUAGCUGCCACCUCCUCAAACCCAACAAGCAGUUUCUUUCUGACCCCCUUUCAUUGCUUUUAUAUAAUAUAAUUUUAAAGCAUCAGUACACCUGCAGACCCGCCUCCAUUAAAAAAAUUUUAAUCCUUUAAUAAAGUACAUACAUGAACUUAAGUCUUUGAGUAGUGAUACAUUUGUAAUUUAUUGUAAAACUCAGAUCAGAAUGCUUCAAAGUCAAAAUUUUAUCUCUGUAAGGUGGAGGACAUGAGGUGGGGCCAACUGUCUUCUAGUUUUAAGAUAUGGUAAAAUAGAAUGUCUGCCAGCUGCCAAAAGCCAGAGACAGAAAUGCCAUCUCAUCUCAUGAACAGUGGGGAGGGGAACAUUUACUUAACACCCACCUUCAACCUCCUCUUCUGGCAAGUGCUCUGCUCUAGAUGAGGAAAUGCUCAGUUCCUCACCCACCCACCGGCGUCUCAGCUGGUGCUGCGGGCCUGGGAUUCCAAACCCAGGUUCUCUCCACCAAACUAGUGGUUUUGAAACUGGCUCUUGUGGCUGUGCUUCAGGGGAUCCCUGAAAACACUUCAAAGAUCAUAUUAAAUAUUAAAAAUCAUCUCUAAUAUGUACACCCAACGAUAAAACACAUUAGCUUAGACUGCCUGAGACCUCACAAUAAGGUGUCUGUAGCUGCCUCUGUGUAGGCUUCUCAUAGGUCAGCGAUGCAGAGGGUGCUAGCCUGGUACCUGGAUCACCAUGCCCAGCUGCAACUCAAUGCUAGUGGCUCUCACUGUAGAAUAACUUGAGUGCUUAUUUAUAAUCGUUGGGUGUUUCUUACUAAUCUAUGGAGGAUAAGGAUUGAAAGCAGGUAUUGAAUAUUCUCCCCUAUUAAUCCUUUUUUUCAAGCAUCUACUUCACUUUUGUCAAUAACCAGAGAUUGCAGGCAAGCUGUGAC